RNAcentral lists this ribosomal RNA (305 nucleotides) under uncultured bacterium. RNAcentral's name for it is "bacterial SSU rRNA". It matches the Rfam family "Bacterial small subunit ribosomal RNA", at positions 333 to 630 of the family's 1533-position model. The record is from RNAcentral.
GGCUGCCUACGGGGCGCAGCAGUAGGGAAUCUUCCACAAUGGACGAAAGUCUGAUGGAGCAAUGCCGCGUGAGUGAAGAAGGUUUUCGGAUCGUAAAGCUCUGUUGCGAGGGAAGAACACGUACGGGAGUAACUGCCCGUACCUUGACGGUACCUCGUCAGAAAACCACGGCUAACUACGUGCCAGCAGCCGCGGUAAUACGUAGGUGGCAAGCGUUGUCCGGAAUUAUUGGGCGUAAAGCGCGCGCAGGCGGUCCUUUAAGUCUGAUGUGAAAGCCCACGGCUCAACCGUGGAGGGUCAUUGGA